CAAAGACAAAGAGGUAGAUUUUCUCCCCCCCCAAAAAAAGCAGCAGAAUAAAGAUGUCAUACACAACACUCUUUCCUCAGUGUAUUAAAGCAGGGUUUGAAAACAAAACGGUCAUUAAUAACUUGGCAUCAUGGCCGCUGGUAUGAAUAUACAGCGCAAGAGUGCAUUUGCAAAGCCAUAGCUGAAUGAACGAAUAUACGGCUGGGAUAUGUGUAGGGCACGAGUGGGCGGCCGCAUAUCAAGAGACAGAGAUAGAACCAGAGAGAGGGAGAGAUACAUAUAGAUGCUUGACAACUAAUAUUUCUGCAUUCCAAGCACUCAGCAGUUUCCUUCCACGCUGUUUUUUCCUCAAUGAAAUUGCUCAGCUCUCUACAGCUGUGUAUUCCCCUCUAUCUUUUUUUAUCUCACCUUGCCUGCCUGUGGAGUAUGUAGGCCAAGGUAUGACCCGAGUGGAAUAGCCUUUCACACAGCUGAUAAUUCCACACUUAACAGAGCACUUUACACACAGGAAAAGAUCACCAUGUCAUGUUUACUGUCUGGCAGCUACUCUGCGUCAUCUCCCAUAGCACAGAUAGAAGAGAUUGUUAGACUGAUAUCAACUACUCGUGAGGCCCUCAAUCUUUCAGUCAUAAUUAGGCAGCCAUCAAGCUACGUUUUAAGAUAAUGCUCUUAUGACUGCUUAAUUCAUACUCAUCCCUAAAUUUCAUACCACAGCUGUUGCUUUGUAAACACUUCCCCCUAAUUUACUGGUCUAUAUAAUUUCUUCAAAAUGAUCACUUAUGCAUGACUACCGCACCUGGUCCCUACAAUUCCUUUCACUUAAGCGGUGUUCGAAUGAACUGAGAUGCACUAUAGCCUGCAGCAACAGCAUUCUGUAUUGUUGAAAACACCAUCAGAGCAUAUUGUUUUUCCCAAUGUCUUUUACAAGGCACACCUUUCCUUUUCAAAAAGAAAUGGAGGAAUUAUUUACCAAUUAAUCUCGGUUCACAGAAAGACCUUUCAGUAAGCAUUUAGAUAUUGACAUUCUUGAAAUACAUCAUUCAUAAUAAAAAAAAAGAAUUUAAAAAAUCCAUUUGUUCUGCAAAUGACAGUGUUAAAGAACGUUUAUGACUGCAACUGCAAUCCGUCAUUAGUUUCAUGGAGACACUCAAGGGAAUUCCCACUGUACAAAAUCUGACUGAAGCCAGAUGAACGGAUAUUCUUCAACAACUGUCUUCUCAAGUAUACCCUAUGUGCUGUUUCUCUUCAUUGAUGCUAAAUUGGUGUCCUUUUUCUACUUGCAAUCUUUUCUCUAGCUGAAUGGGCCAGGAGGUUCUUACUUGUCAAAUAAACUAAAUAAACUCAUGGGAUCGGUUUCAUCCUGAAUAAUAAAUUAUUCACUUUUUUUUAAUCCCAGAAAAACAUUCUUGUCUUGAAUACUUUCUCUACCAAUCAUAACGAAUAAACAGGUUCUCAGUAUACAACCAGAGCUUAACAAUUGAACAACACUCACAAUAUUUCACAAACCAAUUCAUUCAUCCAAGUGAAAUACAAUAAAUAGUGAUGGAAAGCCAACAUAAUAAUAAUAAUUAUAAACACACACACACACACACACACACACACAUAUAUAUAUAUAUAUAUAUAGAGAGAGAGAGUUCAUUAAUUUGGUAUUUAUCUACCAACCUGGGUGAAGGUCUUUCUUCAAAUGGAGAGAAUUCCAGACACGGUGUAAUGAUUGGUAUUUCUGCCAUGGGGAUGGAUGUGAAAUGCUAGAAUGAUGGCAGUUUAUGGAACUGGAGCAAUGGGGGGUUUAUGAGCAGGGUGUGAAAGAGAAGGGCAGCAGACGGGACUGAUGGAAAGUAACCCCUUAAGACAGAAAUGACAUGAGAAUCAGGAUUAGCUUGAAUGGAAAAGCUGCUGUUGGCCAAUAGGUUUAUGAAGAGCAAAAGGCCAAAGAGAACGGUGAGAAGGUACUGUACGCCACUUGAGUCCCACUUGCUCAAGGCACAGGAGUGAAGUAAACUCUGGAUGCAAGUCAUGACAUCUGGUGUCCUUUUGUGUUUUUUCUCCUUUAGUAAUAUCAUUCUCUGUGAAGCAGAGAAAUGAAGUCUCAUCUCUGAAGGCAAGAUUUUCACCAACUAACCCAAAACAAAAAGGGCUUUGGUUUUUUUCCUUGUAUAUUUCCUCAGAUGAUUCGAGGCACAGACUUACAGUGAAGAAAACAGAGGUUUACACAAAUGGUGAGAAUAUCAGAAAUCCUAUAGAUUAAUCCUCACCUAUUCUGCUUUGGGUAGACCUAGGAGCACACCUUCCUAUAGAAUUCAGUUCCAACUCUAAUGCAACACACGUGCUACAGAUAAUCAAUCUACUUGCCUAGUCAGUUCAGCUCGAUCGAUCGCAGACAGGAACUGAAUUCAGUAAGAAGAUAGGCUUCCAGGAAUGUGGUCACUGCUCUAUAUGUGAACACUGCACCCAGCCUGACAUUGUAAAACUCUGACAGAGAAGUGGAAGUGGAAUAGCAUGCAGCAUGCUUGUUCUUAAUCUUCCUGGCUGCACACACACACAAUGUUUCCUGCUCAUGCCAUCUCUCACCAGUAAGGACUAGUUGAGGCUCAGCUCAGGUUCCACUCUCCCAUUGCGUAAAAAGCUCACACAUUGCUGUAGUGUCACAGGACAGGGGAAUGACGUGCAACGAUUACGGGGUUGCAGCUCUGCUUUUUGUCGCGGUGUCUGGUUGCCUUCUCUGGAUCACUUCUUUGCUAGCCUUGGAGAGACAUUUGACCCCAAAGGCAGGAAUGCAGGGGACUGACGGCUGUGUUGACGGCAGCACUGACUUCAGCAGUGGCUUGGUGUUACGGCCCAAGCGUUAAGUGUCUUAAAUGUGCAUGUGGCUCUGGAGUUGUUUUGACACUAGACACUUGCUGAGUGGCAGUAAACCAUGUGCGAACCCUCAUACUUGUCCACUGGGUUGCAUGGCUCCCUGGGUGUCCUGAACACAUUGUCCAUCUGUCCUUUUUCCAUGUUCACACUGCUGCUACCUGAGUGAAUACAUGGACCGAAGUUUGGCAAAAAGAAAUGCUAAACAAAAGGCAAGGUGGCAUCACAACUCCCUGUGUUCUCAAUCAAAAGCAUCUUCGUCCUUGUAGUCUCUCCUCACAGGGGACACGGUUCAGUGGUAAAGGGUUCUCCUGCUUUCUUUUUCCUGCGUUUCUUCUUAUGUGUUGUCCAACAGGCAGUAGCCAUUACCAUCAGGACCAGCCCGACAAUCAGCAAGACCACAGAGACCACCUUGGUCUGUGGGAGAUCGUUGUAGGUGUAGGUCACGCUCGUGCCAGCUAUACCAAUUACCAGUGAGAUGAUUCCAAAGGGGAAGAUGCAGCGAUACCAAGAUUUUUCCAUGCCCCCUGUGGCCUGAGAAAGCUUCUCUAAAGAAGACAGGACCUCUGGGACUUUGGCUGCCCCCUCCGGAGUCUGUCCCUCCUGGUUGGUGUUUGAAGAAGGCUGGGGCUGGCAUGCCAGGUGCCCUGUGGUACAGCCCAUUUUUAAAAAAUUAGAAGCCAGUGAGGCUAUUGGAAGCCAGGUGGAAACUUCCUCUACUGUACUCCGAAUCCAGUACUGGCUUGAGAAGAGAUGAAGCCUAGAUCUAAACAGUCCGAUGUGAAACUACGUGCAAAAGGAGCAUGGCCAGCAACAAAACAUCCCUACUCCCUGUGCAGUCCUCCUCUCUUUCUCUGCUGUGCAGUGUUAUAAUAGUCUGCACUGUGAAUCAGCAGCAGCAUGUUGAACACUCUCCCAGCUGGACUGCGUGUGGGUAUAUAAUGUGCCAAAGGCAGGGGGUGGAGUAAAGAAGCAGUGAAGGGGCUGGACAGUGGCAGUGAUUGGCUGAAGCCACAGUGUGACGUUGAAUACAAGAGCAGAGGAAUGGGGAUCAAAAGAAGAGCUGGAAAGAAGAAGAGAGGGUGGGAGUUAACCAUUCAAAUGCUGUCACACUCUUGCUUUUUCAGGGUUUGCUGCAGCCGUCCUUCCUACAGGAAAUGGCAUAACAAAUACAUCCCAAAAGGAACAGAUCAUAUGAGCAUGUAAUGGCAUUAAAGACACAAGAAUAUUGUGUCAAAUCCUACAAUCCCAAACAAAUUUCCAUUUUUAUCUGUGAGCAAACAGAGGGAAUUCCAUGUGAGAGCACAGCUGAGCACUGCAUGCUCCCUCUGUG
Ictalurus punctatus (channel catfish) is the source of this 4189-nucleotide long non-coding RNA. Lineage: Eukaryota; Metazoa; Chordata; Actinopteri; Siluriformes; Ictaluridae. The record is from Ensembl.